This 443-nucleotide ribosomal RNA is filed under the name uncultured bacterium. RNAcentral's name for it is "bacterial SSU rRNA". It matches the Rfam family "Bacterial small subunit ribosomal RNA", at positions 29 to 520 of the family's 1533-position model. The record is from RNAcentral.
AACGAACGCUGGCGGCAGGCCUAACACAUGCAAGUCGAACGCCCCGCAAGGGAGUGGCAGACGGGUGAGUAACACGUGGGAACGUACCCUUCGGUUCGGGAUAACUCAGGGAAACUUGAGCUAAUACCGGAUACGUCCGAGAGGAGAAAGAUUUAUCGCCGAGGGAUCGGCCCGCGUCUGAUUAGCUUGUUGGUGAGGUAACGGCUCGCCAAGGCGACGAUCAGUAGCUGGUCUGAGAGGAUGAUCAGCCACAUUGGGACUGAGACACGGCCCAAACUCCUACGGGAGGCAGCAGUGGGGAAUAUUGGACAAUGGGCGCAAGCCUGAUCCAGCCAUGCCGCGUGAGUGAUGAAGGCCCUAGGGUUGUAAAGCUCUUUUACCCGGGAAGAUAAUGACUGUACCGGGAGAAUAAGCCCCGGCUAACUUCGUGCCAGCAGCAGCCG